RNAcentral lists this ribosomal RNA (467 nucleotides) under uncultured bacterium. RNAcentral's name for it is "partial 16S ribosomal RNA". It matches the Rfam family "Bacterial small subunit ribosomal RNA", at positions 28 to 507 of the family's 1533-position model. The record is from RNAcentral.
GAUGAACGCUGGCGGCGUGCUUAACACAUGCAAGUCGAACGGAAAGGCCCAAGCUUGCUUGGGUACUCGAGUGGCGAACGGGUGAGUAACACGUGGGUGAUCUGCCCUGCACUUCGGGAUAAGCCUGGGAAACUGGGUCUAAUACCGGAUAGGACCACUUCUUGGAUGUUGUGGUGGAAAGUUUUUUCGGUGUGGGAUGAGCUCGCGGCCUAUCAGCUUGCUGGUGGGGUAAUGGCCUACCAAGGCGUCGACGGGUAGCCGGCCUGAGAGGGUGUACGGCCACAUUGGGACUGAGAUACGGCCCAGACUCCUACGGGAGGCAGCAGUGGGGAAUAUUGCACAAUGGGCGCAAGCCUGAUGCAGCGACGCCGCGUGGGGGAUGACGGCCUUCGGGUUGGAAACUCCUUUCGCUAGGGACGAAGCGUUUUGUGACGGUACCUGGAGAAGAAGCACCGGCUAACUACGUG